UUUAGUUACGUCAAAAAAAAAAGAAAAAAAAGUGAGAAAAAAGAAUAUGAAAAAUCUUAUUUUACUAUUUUUUUUGUAAUAGUGAUUUAUUUAGUUGAUAAUGAAUUAUGUGAAUAUAUUAAUUAGAAAGUAGGCGGAUGGGAAGACGAAGCAUCAGGUGGAAAUGAAAAGUGGGAAAAUGAAAUAUUAGAGAGUGGGAAGGAGGGUGAAGUAGGAAUUACCACGUGGCAAACUCUAUUAAAAAUAAUGUAUGAAAAGACGACGCAUUAGGGAGUGGGAAGGAGGGUGAAGGAGGAAUUGUUACGUGGCAAACUCUAUGAUAAAUAAUGUGUAUAAUAAUAAUAAUAAUAAUAAUAAUAAUAUUUAGGUAUAGAUAGAUAUAGUUAUUCUCUCUCUCUCUCUCAAAAAUACAUUUUUUUUUCCAUUUUUGGAAAGGAAGAGAUAAAUGAAGGACAUGGCCAUGUGAGUAGCUGAUUAAACGAAUGUUUCUCUUAACUGCUAUAAAAUGAAAGGGGAAGUGUGUGACUGCGCGCUUAAUGCCACAACAGCUAGAGAAAGGUAAUAAGUUAUCAAGAAAUGCUUCAAUACACUAGCUAAAUUAAAUCUAGUCGUUCAUAUUUUAAGGGCGAGAUUGACUUUUGCAUAGUAGUUGAGUAAUAUAGGAAAACAAAUACAAACUAAUUACCAAAUUUAUUUGUUUCCUUAUUUAAUUUUGUUACUUACCAAAUUAGAUAGUGCUAAUUUGAUAAGUCAUAAACCUUUAUAAAAUUGAAUUUAAAAUUCAAUUUGAGCUUAAACUUUAUAAUUGUGUAUAUUAAAUUCAAAUUUAAUUUUAAUUUUAAUUUUACUUUUCAGAACGAAAAAAAUUAUGUUUAAAUGAAUAGUAUAUUUCAAUUCAAAUUGUUAAUUUGAUAUUAAAAUGACACGAAAUUUCAAAUAUAUUAACUUAUUUUAAAAUGUAAAUUAUGCUGUAUUUAUAAACAUAACUUUUGUUAUUUAUUUAAAUUAAAGGCUUCUAUUUUUAAAAUUAAAUUCAAAUUGUUUAUUAGAUAGUAAAAACAGCAUUAAAGUUCAAAAAUAUUGAUUAAAAUUAAAUUUUAAAUUUAGAUUUAGUUUAUAUUAUAGUUAAAAAAUAAAUUUUGUUAACUAUUUAAACUAAACGAUUCUAUGUUUGAAAAUUAACUUUAAAUUAUAAAUCUGAAUUUAAUUUUAGCUAUUAUAAUUUCNUAGCGAUUUAUUUAGUUGAUAAUGAAUUAUGUGAAUAUAUUAAUUAGAAAGUAGGCAGAUGGGAAGAUGAAGUAUCGUGUGGAAAUGAAAAGUGAAAAAAUGAAGUAUUAGAGAGUGGGAAGGAGGGUGAAGUAGGAAUUACCACGUGGCAAACUCUAUUAAAGAUAAUGUAUGGAAAGACGACGCAUUAGGGAGUGGGCAGAAGGGUGAAGGAGGAAUUAUUACGUGGCAAACUCUAUGAUAAAUAAUGUGUAUAAUAAUAAUAAUAAUAAUAAUAAUAUUUAGGUAUAGAUAGAUAU
Molecule: long non-coding RNA, 1526 nt
Filed under: Ananas comosus (pineapple)
Lineage: Eukaryota; Viridiplantae; Streptophyta; Magnoliopsida; Poales; Bromeliaceae
Description: long non-coding RNA (ACOM_LNC006036)
Source: RNAcentral